Molecule: long non-coding RNA, 2423 nt
Organism: Salvelinus fontinalis (brook trout)
Lineage: Eukaryota; Metazoa; Chordata; Actinopteri; Salmoniformes; Salmonidae
Exons: 3
Source: RefSeq, a predicted model, not a curated record
CUUGUACAGAUUUGUGUAAUAUGAUUCAAAUGCAUUCUGUAUUUCAUCUAAUUUGCAUGUGAUCUUUUUUGUUUUGGGGUCUUUUAUUUUGAAAAUGGUAUUCUGUGCUUGUUGUUUCCUGAGUCUCCAUGCUAGUAAUUUGGUUGCCUUUGAGCCUGCUUCAUAAUAUCGUUGUUUCAGGAACCUAAGCUUUUUCUCUACAAAUCUGGGGGCGGAAUGCUGGGCAGCACUGUGGAGCCGGUUCCUGCUGUAAGGUAGCCCGCGUCUCCUGGACCUGAAGGAGACAGCCAAACAGAAAGAGACAGGGGAUGAGAGACUGAGGAAUGCUCAAGGCUGACCACUGGAAUUGAAUGCACAAGAUGAGUGGACCUGAGCCCUAGGACCAUACGUCAGGACUACCGGGCAUGAUGACUCCUUGCUGUCCCCAGUCCACCUGGCCUUGCUGCUAUUCCAGUUUCAACUGUUCAGCCUGCGGUUAUCGAACCCCUACCUGUCCCAGACCUGCUGUUUUCAACUCUUAAUGAUCGGCUAUGAAAAGCCAACUGACAUUUAUUCCUGAUUAUUAUUUGACCAUGCUUGUCACUUAUGAACAUUUAACAUCUUGGCCAUGUUCUGUUAUAAUCUCCACCCGGCACAGCCAGAAGAGGACUGGCCACCCCUCAUAGCCUGGUUCCUCUCUAGGUUUCUUCCUAGGUUUUGGCAUUUCUAGGGAGUUUUUCCUAGCCACCGUGCUUCUACACCUGCAUUGCUUGCUGUUUGGGGUUUUAGGCUGGGUUUCUGUACAGCACUUCGAGAUAUUAGCUGAUGUACAAAGGGUUAUAUAAAAUAAACUUGAUUUGAUUUAAGUUUCUUCAAGUGCAGUUGCAAAAACUAUCAAUUGUUAUGAUGAAACUGGCUCUCAUGAGGACUGCCACAGGAAAGGAAGACCCAAAAUUACUUCUGCUGCAGAGGAUAAGUUUAUUACAGUUACCAGCCUCAGAAAUUGCAGCCCAUAUAAAUGCUUCUGAGUUCAAGUAACAGACACAUCUACAUCGAUUGUUCAGAGGAGACUGUGUGAAUCGGGCCUUCAUGGUCGAAUUGCUGCAAAGAAACCACUAAAGGACACCAAAAAGAAGAAGAGACUUGUUUGGGCCAAGAAACACAAGCAAUGGACAUUAGACAGGUGGAAAUCUGUUCUUUGGUCUGUUGAGUCCAAAUUUGAGAUUUUUGGUUGCAACCGCCGUGUCUUUGUGACACAGAGUAGGUGAACGGAUGAUCUCCGCAUGAGCAAUUCCCACAGUGAAGCAUGGAGGUGGCGGCGUGAUGUGGGGGUGCUUUUCUGAUUACACUACACUGUCUGUGAUUGAUUUGGGCACACUUAACCAGCAUGGCUACCACAGCAUUCUGCAGCGAUACGCCAUCCUAUCUGGUUUGCAUUUAGUGGUACUAUCGUUUGUUUUUCAACAGGACAAUGACGCAACACACCUCCCAAGAUCAAGAAGGAGACCAAGAAGGACCAAUAAGGAGAGUGAUGGAGCUCUGAUGGAGUGCUGCAUCAGAUGACUUGGCCUUCACAAUCACCCAAGCUCAACCCAACUGAGAUGGUUUGGGAUACGUUGGACUGCAGAGUGAAGGAAAAGCAGCCAACAAGUGAUCAGCAUAUGUGGGUACUCCUUCAAGACUGUUGUAAAAGCAUUCCAGGUGAAGCUGGUUGAGAGAAUGCCAAGAGUGUGCAAAGCUGUCAAAUGGUGGCUACUGUGGAAGGGCCACCAGAGGGCAGGCUGCUCCCACAGACAGUAGCCCAGCCCGGCAUGUGAGUCAAGGUGAUCAGAGGCAAUUAAGCACAGCUGACGGUACUAAUGAGCUAUUCUCUUUCCCCUACAAGAGCGAGGAGGGAACUGGCAGAGUGGGGAGAAGAAAAAAAAGAGUGCUUGCUUCUACAAAGGAGAGGACGUACCUUUCGGAAGGGAGAAGGGGACACACCACCUCUAGGGAAUGGUCACCACGGAUCCGGACAACCACCCGAAGGGGACUCUCCACGGACGGAUCGUGAAGGCAGUGACACACCCGUGAUUUAUGUUAUAGUUUAACGAUACUCACCUUGUGUUCCUUGUUCUUGUGAAGAAGAUUUGUGUUUUCCUUGGGAUAUCAUCCUUGAUUGUGUUGGAGGGUUUGAGAAGGAAAAAUACCUCAAUUGAGAACUUUGUUCAAUUAAGAAAACUUGCUCCUGACUCGUUCAUUCCACCUUUCCGCUUUCGAGCAACCUCCAAGUACUUGGUCCACUCACACUACUUUGAAGAAUCUCAAAUAUAAAAUACAUUUUGAUUCGUUUAACACUUUGGUUACUACCUGAUUCCAUAUAUGUUAUUUCAUAGUUCUGAUGUCUUCUUCAUCAGUAUUCGACAAUGUAGAAAAUAAAAAGUAAAAAUAAAGAAAAACCAUUG